UGAGAUGCAACUUCCACAGC
Molecule: unclassified non-coding RNA, 20 nt
Filed under: Mus musculus (house mouse)
Lineage: Eukaryota; Metazoa; Chordata; Mammalia; Rodentia; Muridae
Description: oocyte_clustered_small_RNA12625
Source: RNAcentral